CGGCAACAGCUCAAAUUUGAAAUCUGGCUUCGGCCCGAGUUGUAAUUUGUAGAGGAUGCUUUUGGCGAGGUGCCGUCCGAGUUCCCUGGAACGGGACGCCAGAGAGGGUGAGAGCCCCGUAUGGUCGGACACCGAACCUCUGUGAAGCUCCUUCGAC
RNAcentral lists this ribosomal RNA (157 nucleotides) under Coniochaeta sp. Its description in RNAcentral is "partial large subunit ribosomal RNA". It matches the Rfam family "Eukaryotic large subunit ribosomal RNA", at positions 99 to 261 of the family's 3401-position model. The record is from RNAcentral. Lineage: Eukaryota; Fungi; Ascomycota; Sordariomycetes; Coniochaetales; Coniochaetaceae.